Molecule: ribosomal RNA, 468 nt
Filed under: uncultured bacterium
Lineage: Bacteria
Description: partial 16S ribosomal RNA
Rfam family: Bacterial small subunit ribosomal RNA
Source: RNAcentral
GACGAACGCUGGCGGCGUGCUUAACACAUGCAAGUCGAACGGAAAGGCUCUGCUUUUGUGGGGUGCUCGAGUGGCGAACGGGUGAGUAACACGUGAGUAACCUGCCCUUGACUUUGGGAUAACUUCAGGAAACUGGGGCUAAUACCGGAUAGGAGCUCCUGCUGCAUGGUGGGGGUUGGAAAGUUUCGGCGGUUGGGGAUGGACUCGCGGCUUAUCAGCUUGUUGGUGGGGUAGUGGCUUACCAAGGCUUUGACGGGUAGCCGGCCUGAGAGGGUGACCGGCCACAUUGGGACUGAGAUACGGCCCAGACUCCUACGGGAGGCAGCAGUGGGGAAUAUUGCACAAUGGGCGGAAGCCUGAUGCAGCGACGCCGCGUGCGGGAUGACGGCCUUCGGGUUGUAAACCGCUUUCGCCUGUGACGAAGCGUGAGUGACGGUAAUGGGUAAAGAAGCACCGGCUAACUACGUG